Molecule: ribosomal RNA, 253 nt
Filed under: uncultured bacterium
Lineage: Bacteria
Description: partial 16S ribosomal RNA
Rfam family: Bacterial small subunit ribosomal RNA
Source: RNAcentral
UACGGAGGAUCCAAGCGUUAUCCGGAAUCAUUGGGGUUAAAGGGUCCGUAGGCGGUUUAAUAAGUCAGUGGUGAAAUCUGGUCGCUCAACGAUCAAACGGCCAUUGAUACUGUUAGACUUGAAUUAUUGGGAAGUAACCAGAAUAUGUAGUGUAGCGGUGAAAUGCUUAGAUAUUACAUGGAAUACCAAUUGCGAAGGCAGGUUACUACCAAUGGAUUGACGCUGAUGGACGAAAGCGUGGGGAGCGAACAGG